Long non-coding RNA from Meriones unguiculatus (Mongolian gerbil), 12539 nucleotides. RefSeq lists it as uncharacterized. Lineage: Eukaryota; Metazoa; Chordata; Mammalia; Rodentia; Muridae. The transcript has 6 exons. The record is from RefSeq and is a predicted model, not a curated record.
GGAGAGAGGGAGAGAGGAGAGAGAAAGAGAAGGAGAGAGGGGGAGAGGGAGAGAGAGAGAGAACGCCAGCACGAACACACAAGCUGUCGAUAGGUCUGCUAACAGCAGCCGUGCUGCAGCAGAGAGAGAAAUCAAGAAACAAGUCAUAGCAACACUGGGCACCAGGUUCUGCCAAGCGUUCAGAAAUCUAUUGGGAGCCAGAGGCCUCUGGGUAGCCCAGGCUAAGAUGUCACGAAAGGUGGCACGGGCAGUUCCCAUGAGGAAGAGGAAUGGGGGCAGGAGUGGGUACAAGAGUUGGUGGGGUGGCAGUAGAAGACUUAAUCAGAGUGGAUUCUGGAACAUUCAAGACUGCAGCACCUUGUAUCUGGACAGGGAUUUGGGUCUGCGCAGGAGACGACUGGUGGUCCAGUGGGGCUUAAGGACUUGAUGGCGUAACCCACUUCUCCCACGGAGGAGACUUGAGAGAGGAUUGACCAAAUUGGAAGAAAAUAUUUGUCCUCUGCUUUGGUGUCAGAAAAGGGAAUUUUCCGAUCUGCCACACCUCACUGUUGCGGCAAAAAUAAUUCUUGGCUCCCCUGGAAACCAUCGGGCAAGGUAGGACAGAGCUUCUGCCGCUGUCGCUGGCACCCUGGGCUUCGCACUUAGUGGGCUGCCCCCAAGUGAAGGGAUCUGCACUGAUACUCUGGUCAUCCAGAAGUCCUCAGAUCAGUUGCAAGAAUCUGCAUUUUGGAAGUUGCUGCUACCUUGUGCUUGGAAAGGUGAGGAAUGGGGACUAACUUCAGGGUAUGUUGGGAACCGGCUGUUGCAAGGUUUCCCGAAAAGUGAGUGGGUAGAGGUUUGAAGGACUCCCAUUAGAAUGAUUUGUCAGUCUAGGGAACCAAGAGAUGGAGAAUGAAACUGGGGCAGCAGCAGCUGUCUUGUAUUGGGGGAGGGAAGCUGAAAAAUUAGAGUUCUGGCAUCCCAUUUUGUCUCAUAUUUGUGGGAGGGGGUUUGCUGGGCCCUGCACCAUGCACAGUAACCCCACCCAUGACUGCGCAUCCAAAGCAAGAACGCAGUGCGUCCUGGGCCUCUGGCCUGGGACAAACACCUCCCUCCUUGUUAUAUAACUCAUGGGUGGCCUGUGCCUUCUCAAGCCUUUGCAACUCUACCUCCCCAGCUCUUGGGACUUGCAGCCGAGGGUCUGCUAGGGAGCAGUGGGAGGUUCCCUCCCUGGAUGGGCUAGCCCUUGUCCACUUAGUGACCAAAUUUGAGUACAGAAAUGGUUUUCUGUCUCAUCUGGAAACAUGGGCCCCAGAAUACCCUUCUGAGUACCUGUGUCACCUGUGAUCCCUGGGGCUUGGAGGUAGGAAUGGUGUCCCUUUCUGGUUUGUGGGAAGGACUUUCUGAAGGAGAAUACCUGACAGUAUUAGUAUGAGGGAAGGUGAGAAAGCCUGUUGGGAGGGGGUUGGCCAUUUUCCCUUUCUUGUCUCUAGCUUUCCUUUCCCUGACUGGGUUCACAAUCUUUCUAGACUCCUUUGAGGCUGCCAUUUUGAAGGUGUCUCUGCUGGUGUUCCACAUGGUGGCUGGUACUGGUGGUUUUCCUGGCCCUGCUAUGCUAGUUCCAAGGAGUGGGUGGGAUAAGAGGUCUCUGAUAGAGGAAUGCAGGCAUUGUACAAAUAUGUGUAGUUAUGAUUGCUGCAGUGAAGGUGGUCUGGAGGCAGAACUGCCUGGUUACACCCUGGGUCACAGCAUUGGGUGGGGGUCUAAAUAGAAGCCUUCUGGGUCAGGAUUCCCUGGCUUGGGACCCUAGCUUUACAAGAAAGCACUUGGCUUUCCUGCCUUAGUCAGCCUGAACCUCAGAGAUGUUCCAUGAAGUGCCUAGUGUUGGAAGCUCAUCUCAGUCCUAGGGUUUGUGUUUUUUCAAAUAGGCAGCCUCCACAUGGGGACAGGGGGUAAGAUCCACAGCAGGCAGCAGCAUUUAUUUAGAUGGCCCUACCUUUACUCCAUGCCCCCUGCCAGGGCCACGGUUCUAUCUGCUCUUCUUUAGUGAGGCUUCCAACUGCCCAACCCUUUCUAGGCCCUUCUGCGGAUAGCGGCCAUCUUGUCUUCCUGCUCAGAGAUUUAAAAUGGUUUCCCAUCAUUUUCAGGUUGAAAUUCCUCCCAUUCAAUACGGUACUGUGGGCUGUCUGCAAGUGGCCUUAGCUUUCCCAAGAAUCCAUUCUCAGGUGAAAACCAGACCACUUAUAUUUCUCUGCUUUUCUUUUCUCCCUAUUUUUAAUACUGGCAUUUUUUUAUGCCUUCUUUCUGCCUGUUGCAGGCCCACUGUCUUUAUGGACCUCUCCCUGAGCACCCUCUAAGAAGAAAUCCCUCUAACCACUAUUAUGAAUCUUCUUUCUGUCAUGGUAUUUUGUUGUGUGUGGUUCCAUGUGUUCUCUAUCAGAGUUUGUGUCCCAAUGAGAAGCCUGGAGAAGGGGGAGGAAGACAUCCCUAUUCAGAGCCUCUGUUGCCGGAUGCCAUAGUAGACACCUCAUGAACCGCUACGUGUUUAUUUUUCUUUUUAUUAUAGCCCUUUAAGGAGAAUCCUGUGGGGCUAGAGAGAUGGCUCAGCAGUUAAGAGAAUCCUGUGGCUGAUAGGAACCCCAGCCUUCUAGUCUUUUUCCUCCAUGUUUACAAGAUGUUAGAAGGUUCAUCAAGAUGAUGUAUUUUUUGUAGUUGAAAUGAACAAACCUCAUUACCUGCCUUCCUUCUGGAAGAGCAGGCAGAAGUGGGUAGGUAGAAACAACUGCAGAGGAGGGUAAACCCAGGCAUUGAGGUAGGUAUAAUCAUUGGACUGUCAUACGAGGUCUGUACCCCAAUCUCAGUUGGGUGAUUUUAGACAGGUCAUUCUAUUUCUUGCCUAAGUGCCCUUAGUUUGUGAAGUAGAACCCUCCCAGCCUGUUCAUAGGAAUGCCCACUGGCUGAAGCUCUCUUUCUCUGCCUGGAGAUUUAAUUGGGGAUGUAAAAUGAGAGGAUAGCAGAUGACUAGCAAAUUAGCGGAUAACCAUAUACUUCUGUGCUAUCACAGCAAGAACAGAAAGGAGGAUCUCAGUAGUUUGACCUCAAGUCUACAAGGUGGUGGUGUUCCCCAGAGUGGCUGCAUGCUUCCUGAUGUUGUUGAGUCCUAUGGGAGGGGAAUCUGAGCACCCAGAUGCCCCUCAUCACCAGUUCUGGGCUGGAGCUGAGAAUAGUGACGACAGCCAAGAACUCUACAGAGUACAGCUCCAUCUGUAAGUAGGUGACAAUCUCUUGGCAUCGCAGGCUCGGCUGAGGAUGAUGUUUGUGCAUCUAAGCCAUUACACUAGAGCAGUUUGCUUGCAUUUUUGUGGAACAGAAAAGAGUUGCUGCUUGGCUACCUGCUUCCAUGGAUGUUGAUAGAUGAAAAAUCAUGCUGGAUGUGGUUGCUGAAGUGGGAUGAGGGCAGUAGGAUUUCCUUAAAGAAGGAAAGCCUUGAAGCACUCCAUGUGGCCAAAGGUGGUUAUGCCCUUCAUCAAAUACCAGCUUCUACUGUCUCCUGUUUCCAGAUUGACUUGCUCUGCUCAAGGAUAUUUUUUGAGCGUUCUACACUCUUUUGGACCCUUUACUCUCUGUGCUUUCCUCUACCCUUUCUCCUUCCCUUUGAUUUUUUUUCUUUAGGAUGAAUGAUAACAUUCUCAGCUAUUAGUCCAAGAGCCAUAUUUGUUCUUUCUCUUCUUUGUCUUUACCCCCAUUUAACAAGGCGGGGGUGGGGGUAGUUGUCCUGGGAAGGAAGGUAGGUAGGGAAUAAAAACCCAUGGUGUUGGGUGGUAGGGCAUGGUAGGUUAGAUAGUCUUUUCCUUCUUGUAGGUACUGUUGAGCUACUAAUUUGUGUGGUUCCUUGAAGUCAGGUGUAUUCUGAUGUAACAUGGACCUAGUCUUGUUAGUGGAUUAAUAGCUGAUUAGAAACUAGAGGCAACAAAGGAAAGGUCUAGUCCUUCAGAUGAAGUGUGGCUGCCUUCUAGAUCUGUUCCCUCAAAAUAUACCAUUCAGCAUCUCUAACAAUUGUCCUUUUUUUCCAUUCUUCCAUUCCUAGCUUUUCUGUGAAAGGAUAACUAGCAGAGUCUUAGCAUAAGGGUAGCCUGCUCAGCUAACUAGGAUGUGAGGUAUUUGGGAGAUAUCUGGGCAGCACCAUAGACAGGGUAUGGCAAUAGCUAGGUACCUAGACUUCCUUGGCUGCUGACAUCUAACCUGAGAUUAUUCAAGGUUUAGCUCCCCAUAUCAUCCCUGAGGUCCUGGGAGCUUCCGAGGAUACGGACAUGCUCUUUCCUUUGCAGAGCGGGCAUGUGUCUUACCCUGGACAGACUGAGCCUUAAAGGGGCAUAGGCUAAGACUGGAAUCUAGAGUUUAGACUGAGCUGAGCAGUAACUGAAUUCUGGAUUUUUCCAUACUUGAGAUUUUCCUUUGAAUGAAUCAUUUUUUUCUUUAGGCUUUCAGUUGUCUUCAAAGUAUCUCUAGGCACUUGACAGGGAAGUGUUUUUCCUCUGCCUUAAAAUAACAGCAAUGUUGAGUUAAAGUGAUGAUGUCCUUCAGAACUGGGAAGACAGACAAUCCCGUUGUAGACACAAACCAGAAAGCAGACAGCAGGUUCUUCCUAUGACUUUUAGAAGUCUCUGUCCAUCAUUGCUAUAAAUGUUCUUAGCCAGUAGGGCCAGUGGGAACUGACAGCCAAAUGUCUAGGGUCUAAGGAGAAAAGGAAUAAUCUUAGAUAAUUCUGCUAGGUACCUGUGGGAUCUCAACCUCAGCCAUCUCAUGCAGCUACUCUGCUGACAUUGUAUAGAUGUAUUUAUCCUUUCCUGCCCCCUCCCACUACUGUCCAAGGAAGACUAAUGAAUCCCACCUCACAUGUUUAUUGUCUUGUCUCUCUCUUUGAGGCAAGCCUCUGAGAUCCUUGCCAAGAAAGGUCAGUUUGGAUGAGUUGUCUAUUAUUUCAAGGAGCUAGAUAAAUUGAGUCACUGCCUAGUGGUGUGUGAGGGAUAGCUGGGGAUCGGAGGGGCUGAAGUUUAAGAGAUAAGUUCAAUCAGCUCUGCAGCUGGGAAACAGAAAGGAAUAAACCUAAUUCUUCAAAAUGAGCCCUACUGGAGGGCUGGAGCCAGAUGUGCUUAAGCACCUUAGUUCUAGUGGGCAACAUAUUCUUAGGCCUGACUCUGGUGACCUCUGCUACCAUUCACAGCCUUUGGGGGAUUGGGAAAACAAAGAGGAACUUAGUUUUGCCUCUUGUCACACAGCUGUCUCUGUGAAUGAAUUAGGGCUGUACCACCCCACCCAUUUCUCUCUUUCAGACUCUCAUCUAAUGCCUUGCCCCUAGUCACCAGCCUUACUAUUGCUGUGUGACAGGCAAUACCGUAUGUUGCCAGCCAAGCAGACAGUACAGUCAGCAUGCCUGGAACAUGCCUGGAACAUUUUCCUUGGCCUCUGAGUCUCUGAGUUCUGAAAGACAGCUGUGGUACUGAAGGCAAAAUGACAUAGCUGUAGAAUGCAGGGUACCCUACCCAGGGCCCUGAUUGGUCCACACUAUCUGGGUUCCACUGAAUCCUUUUUUUACUGGGGCUAUGAAUUGUUCAGUAAAUAUCAUGGCUCUAUCCUCUGGCUUGGAUGUGUCCCCAACAUUGCAGCCUAAUUUAGAAGAUGUGAACUCUCACAGGUCACUUUUUUAUACUUAUGACCUGCCUCAGGGAUAAGUAAGAGAUACUGCUUUUUUAAUCAGCCUGCCACUGUGGGAGGUCCUUAUUUUCCUUUAUUUUCUGGUCAGUGGCCAUGAGAAAAGCAUACACUGGGUUUGGUUAUUUGCUGGCUCUUUCAACUGCUUAUGGGCUGAUAAGCAAGAAAAUACUCUUGAGGCCUAAUAGUCUGUGCAGAUCCUGAUACUGUGGAAUUAUGCCUGUGUGAGUAGAGUACAGGAAUAGAAUGAAGGGAACUAUAUAGGGCCGUGGUUCUUUGUGGUUGGAUAAUAGAAACAAGUCAUGAGGGUGUGGGAAGAUGUAUCCAAAUGGCUAGAUGCUAGACAGGGUGGAAUCAGGAUGAAUCUCUAAAGAGACAAAGAGACGUCAUCACAUAUCUUGGUCUCCAUAUGCCAUCCAUGGAAAAGGAAACUGCCCUCCAACCCCGGUAACACAGAUAUUAUAUACCUUUUAUUGUUAGUGAAAAUGUAAUGACUAAGUGAACUGACUUAAAUGAAAGUCACACAGUUGAUGAGUGAUGUUGAGAUUUGAUUCAGCACUUCUGAUUCCAAAGCCCUUCAUAUAUAUUUCCUAUGGAAGAGGAAUUACAUAGCCUGGCUCACCUUAUCGACCUCUUCCCAGGUAAACAAGUUCUGAAUCCUGAAGUUGAGUACAUGGAACAGGAGUUUUUUUCCUCACUGUUAGGCUGAAGUCAGACAUUUUUGUGAAUUAACAUCCUCAAGAAAUUAUAUAAUCUCCAAUGAAAGUAAACUCUGUGUCUCAGUAAUGCUGUGCACAUUUCCUUUUCUGGAUAGGUGAAGCAGAUGUUAUUUGGUGUCUGUUGAAUGGUAAAUCAAUUCCCCUCUAUAUGUUGCUGCAUGUUCUAGGAGCUGGACGUUCAGAGCCCCAUUGUCAAUAAAAUAGCAAUAUAAAAUACACAUUAGCCAUAGUUAACACUGUGUGUGGAUGGAAGAGGAAGAUAUCACUCAUUGAAAAUAUGGUGAUUAAUUUCUGUCAUAUUAGCACUCAGGAGGCUAAAGCAAGAGCCUUGAGUUCCAAGCUAGCCUGGGCUAUAUAGUGAGACUCUGUCUCAAAAACAAAACUAAAACAAAAACGCCCCUCCUCAUCCCUCCCCUCCAAAAAACAUAGUGAGGAGAGAGGAAAAAAGGGGUCCAGAUGCAGUCUCCUGGGAAACCAUGUUAGUUGGGGUAUCUUCCAAAAGGUUAGAAAGGAUACUAACUCCUUUUUUCCCUAGGCAUUAAAAAAUCCUUCCAAGUUCUCUGUAGGUCACAGAGGCAUGUUCUAGGUUAGGAAUCAAGGUGGGAGGAGAGGUCAAACUCUGAGCCACUAGCUUAAUGUUUUCAUUUUAUAUGGCUGUGCUUAGCCAUUGUCUUCUUCCUUCAGCCCUCAUCAGGCAUCAGCUCCAUGCCUCUCAUCUGUGCAUCAUGGGGAGCAAUUCAGGCUAGGUCUUUGCUAAGUCACUAAGUAUGUACCUGCAGGCAGCUAAUUUGAAUUGCAGUCUCUGCUGGGACCAUGGUUUCUGCAGGAAAUGGAUAGGACCAGAUUGGGAGAAGUCACAUUAUGUUAGAUGUUUUGUAUACUCUGUACUCUUAGGAGGUCAAGGCCAGUGGUGCUAAACCCUAAGUGCUUCUGCUCCGUAUGUUCAACUUCAGGAGUCAGAACUUGUUCACCUAUGAAGAGGUGGCUAAGGUGAGCCAGACUACGGUAUUCCCUUCUCCUUGGCCUAAUGAUGUUGCUUGGACUUCUCAAAAUAUAGGAGCUGUCAUUGGCUGAAGGAGCCAGAAGCUGCAUAGGGUAUGUGUGAUUAGGGGUUAACAACAUGGGUAGGUAGGUCAAGGAAAAUGGGUUUAUGCUAUUUUGUGUUUGUGCUAUGUCCUCAGUUUACUUGUCUAUGAAACAGGUUUUGAAUGAGGAUUGUGUUAGAGCCUGUCCUGGAUGUUUGUGGAAGUUUUGCUUAGCUAGAAAUUUGGGGCCUGGAAAAUGAACCUAAGUUGCUGAGAGAAGGGAGGGAUCUUGAAGGCCAAAGAGCUACCAAGUUUUGUUCCAAAGUGGCAUCCUAAUGCUAGUAUGAACGAUAGUUGGUGAUGGGUUUUAGAAUGGGUUUUUGGAUGGGUGGCAGUGAAGAGAAGGGGUUAACUGAAUGAAAGUAUCUAGUGAGGACCUACUAGGUGACAGGAUAUGACAUCUUAGAGACAAGUAGGAGAUGUGCUUAUGGGAGCUGGCUGUAGUGCAGGGCUUUGAUUGAAAGACCCUAUAUGUUCAAGAAAAGUAUUUUAUUCAAGGCCUUACCCUGUGCCAAGAGGACUUUGCAUUUAUUUAUCCUCCUUUUAUUAUGUGGUUAGGUCUCUUGCCUAUCUGCAAUGUGACAAAAAAAAAAAAAAAAAAAAAAAUCUCCAAAGCUGCCUGGGUGGUAGAUCCUGAGCCAAGGAAUAUGUGGAGCAGUCUUAAGGAGCCUUAAAGUCACUACACACUGAUUUUUUUCACAUUAGCUGGUUCACUGGGUCCUUGCAAACCCUGAGCAGAGAUACAGCAUUGCUGUUAUUGUGACUAAACUGAGCUAGGAAGAUCCCUCUCAGGAACCAAUUGCUUGUUCAUAGCUUUGGAUUUCUAACCUGGGCUCCUGCUCCAGCUAGACCAGGGGUUGGAAUAGAGCAUUGAGGUCCUUGGCAGUGUUCUGGAUCUCUGAGACAUUCUCUUCUGCUAGCUAGUUUCUACAUCUUGACUAGAAUGUUCCUGGAGACAUUUUUGUUAAGCUAUUCGACAGCUUUAAAGACAUUUUCCUGUGAAUUCAUGCAUACUUCUGUUAUGUGUUGUUCACUGAGAGAGGAAGAUUCACUGUGGCAUCUUUGAGAUUUUCCCAUCCUAUUUUUGAGGAAUGCCUGGAGCUUUCUCAGUAUGUGUGUUGUGUUUGUGUUACCUGUUUGCUAGCUAACAUGUAUCACCCACCGGAAGCACUAGCUACUGUGCUGUAUAGUUAGAUGCUAGAAAUACUGAAGUCAGCUCAGAACCAUUGCCUCAUAAUCAAGUGGAAGAAUAGACCUCCCCUGUAGAGCAGGAGUGAUGUUCCCCAGGCUUCUUUGAGUAUUGAGUAUUGAUAUUCUUUGAGUAUCCCCAAAACAGUCCUCAUUCUUUGAAGGGGUGCUGAAGUUGAGUAUUGGGCUGUAUCACCUCUUGGCUAUUCAGUGUCUAAGUGACCUUUAUUUUGAUAGACCCAGGGCUUCAAUAAAUGGCUAGAGAAGUGCUUGCUUCACUUAUCAUGGACUUGGGCAUGAAGGGUUAUACUUCCUCUGCUAGUGUUCCCUUCAGAACAGUUGAGGUUGGACAGGAUCACUAAACAUCUGUAUCUGUUUAUAAAUGUCUGUCUCUCUGAGUUCCAUAAACAAAUACCUGUUUUUGAAUGGGAAGGUACAUAGGAGCAUUUUGAUGGAGAAUGCCUUCAGCAGCCUUCUAUAACAUUGUCCUGUAUUAGAGCUGGUUCUUUCUAGUUCCUUGGAGAAUGGAAAAGAGGGUAUAUCCAACCCAAAGUAUUGAGAGAAAUUCAUGUAGAUGUCAUGAAAGGCCUGUUGGUAACUUUGCUGAGUUCCCAAAGAAGGAUAGAACUUCCUGAGGAGCUAUUGGCUGCUCUUGUCAGGUCUGUUUAAUUCUGAGGCUCUGGGACUUUGAAAUGAUCCCUGAAAUUGUGUGGUCAAGGUAUCAAGAUAUAAAGUGGCUUCUUGGUUCUACUUUAUAUCAAUCCUGGCUGCCUUUGUGGCAGUCCUUAAGGUGGGAGAUUAUAGGAGACAAUGUAGGCACAGAACUUGAGACUACAAACCAUUUUACUUUACAGAGAGAAUUUCUGCCACUGAGCUUAUGGGAAUUGUUCUUAAUUCUUAUAUAAGUAGAAAAAGUAUAUGCUGUCUCAUAUUUUCCAGGGAAGAUCUAUUCUAUUCCUUUAUUUGUAUCAUUUCUACCUUGGACCAUUCCUCCCAGUGAAGGGGACUCUUGACAAGCAUUGUAGAUGGUAGAGGAAGCAAGAUUAGAUGAGAUUUUCUAGGAAGAAGGUAGAAAAAGAGUUUAAAAGUAGACCCAUAAGCCCUGCAAGUCACAGGCAUUGUCUGUGGUGCUAAAGGCUUAGGUGUGGACAUACUACUUAGAGGAAACCCAGAGUGUGAAAUAAUUAGUUAAUGACUUAAUGAAAGUUGUAUUGUUUAAUUUUAAAAUUUUUAUAUUAAUUACAGUUUAAUAACUUUGUAUCCCACCUGUAGCCCCCUUUCCUCAUUCCUCCAAUGUUCUUCUCUAAGUCCACUGAGAGGGGAGGUCUUCCUCCCCCUCCAUCUGACCCUAGCUUAUCAGGUCUCACCAGGACUGGCUACAUUGUCUUCCUCUGUGGCCUGGUAAGGCUGCUCCCCUCUCAGGGGUAGGUGGUCAAAGAGCCAGCCACUGAGUUCAUGUCAGAGACAGUCCCUGUUCCCCUUACUAGGGUACCCACUUGGAUACUGAGCUGCCAUGGGCUACAUCUGUGCAGGCGUUCUAGGUUAUCUCCAUGCAUGGUCCUUGGUUGGAGUAUCAGUCUCAGAAAAGAUCCCUGGGCCCAGAUUUCUUAGUUCUGUUGCUCUCCUUUUGGAGCUCCUGGCCCCUCCAGGUCUUUCUAUCUCCCCCUUCUUUCAUAAUAUUUCCUGCACUUUGCCCAAACUUUGGCUAUGAGCCUCAGCAUCUGCUUUGAUACCCUGCUGAGUAGAGUCUUUCAGGGGCCCUCUCUGAUAGGCUCCUGUCCUGUUCCCUGUUUUCUCCCUCUUAUGAUGUCCAUCCCAUUUGCCUUUCCGAGUGAGGAUUGAUCCUCUUACCCAGGGUCUUCCUUCUUGCUUGGCUUCUUUAGGUGUACAGAUUUUAGUAUGUUUAUCCUAUAUUAUAUGUCUUAUAUCCAUUUAUAAGUGAGUAUAUAUCAUGUGUGUCUUUCUGCUUCUGGGAUACCUUAAAAUGAUCUUUUCUAGUUCCCACCAUUUGCCUGCAGAUUUCAUGAUUUCCUUGUUUUCAAUUGCUGAGUAGUAUUCCUUUAUGUAAAUGUACCACAAUUUCUGUAUCCAUUCCUCAGUUGAGGGGCAUCUGGGUUGUUUCCAGCUUCUGGCUAUUACGAGUAAAGCUGCUACGAACAUGGUUGAGGAAAUGCCUUGUGUACUUGAGCAUAUUUUGGGUAUAUACCUAGGAGUGGUAUAGCUGAAUGUUGAGGUAGCACUAUUUCUAAUUGUCUGAGAAAGUGCCAGAUUGAUUUCCAAAGUGAUUGUACAAGUUUACAUUCCUACCAACAAUGGAGGAGGAUUCCCCUUUCUCCACAUCCUCUCCAACAUGCAUUGUCACUUGAGUUUUUGAUCUUAGCCAUUCUGAUGUAUGUAAGGUGAAAUCUCAGGGUUGUUUUGAUUUGCAUUUCCCUGAUGACUACGGAUGUUGAGCAUUUCUUUAAGUGUUUCUCUGCCAUUCAAUAUUCCUCUGUAGAGAACUCUGUUUAGCUCUGUACCCCAUUUUUCAAUUGGAUUACUUGAUUUGUUGUGUUUUAACUUCUUGAGGUCUUUAUAUAUUCUGGAUAUUAGCCCUCUGUCAGAUAUAGGGUUGGUGAAGAUCCUUUCCUAGUCUGUAGGCUGUCAUUUUGUUCUGAUGACAGUGUCCUUUGCUUUACAGAAGCUUUUCAAUUUCAUGAGGUCCCAUUUAUUUAUUUUUUUUCAAUGCAGUUUAUUCAGGAACCUUGAACAAUCAUCUGACCCUGGGGAAAGCCAGCCCACAGCUUAAAUAGCCUCUGGGUAGCCAACCCCAGCGUGCCACGUGGGCAAUGCAGAUAGGUCCACAUACAUGGAAGCAAGCCAGAUCCUCAGCCUUAGCCAAAUGUGGAAUUGUUCGUGACAGAGAGCACUCACCAUCGGGAAGGUGGAAGGCGGAAACCAGCUCCAUCUUUAAGGCAUAGCAUUCCGCAGCUCUCUACAGUUCCCCCUUUUUGUUUUAGACGCAUCAGGCAAGAGUAGAGGUCUGAUCUCUGAUAUUAGAAAUAAAUUGGGAAUUUGUACUGAUGUUCAUUUAGGUGUCAUCCACCCAAAAAGCAUCAGACCUGACCGAUACCUUUUUCUCAGAGGCGAGGUCCCAUUUAUUGAUUGUUGAUCUUAGAGCCUGUCCUGUUGGUAUUCUGUUCAAGAAGUUGUCUCUUGUGCCAAUGAGUUCAAAGCUCUUCCUCACUUUUUCUUCUAACAGAUUUAGUGUAUCUGGUUUUAUGUUGAGGUCUUUGAUCCACUUGGAUUUUAGUUUUGUAUAGGAUGAUAAAUAUGGAUCUAUUUGCAUUUUUCUACAUGUAGAAAUCCAGUUAGACCAACACCAUUUGUUGAAGAUGCUGUCUUUUUUCCAUUGUAUGGUUUUGGCUUCUUUGUUAAAAAUCAAGUAUCCAUAGGUGUGUGGGUUUAUGACAGUUGUAUUAAAUAUGGAAAAUCCUAUGUCCUUUUGAGUUAUUGCCAGCAGUAGAUUUAGUGUUGGAAGGUUUAAUAGACAGGCUGGGGUUAGUUAAGUUGUAUUUUAAGUUCUCACUUGCUAUUGACUUUCUUCCUUUACUAUUUCCUACUCUCACACUCCUUAGCCAUUUCCAAAUGCAGUCAUUUCAAUCUGUGAAGGAUUGGAUCCACAGAUGCUGUGAAAUGAGGUUGUUUUCAUUUAAUUUACACAUGCCCUUUCAUGCAUUCUUUCUACUCUUUGAACCAUGUCCAGAUAUCUUAAAAUACGGAAUUCAAAGCAAAUGCUGUCAAACAGUUCUUUUUAAAAUUCUUUAGAGGAUAGUAGCAAAAAAAAAAAAAAAAGUUCUGUGUAUAUAAGGUAAAG